CUCUUCGGAGAGAGUGGCAGACGGGUGAGUAACGCGUGGAAACCUACCCUUUGCUACGGAAUAACCCUUGGAAACGACUGGUAAUACCGUAUACGCCCUUCGGGGGAAAGAUUUAUCGGAGAAAGAUUGGCCCGCGUAAGAUUAGAUAGUUGGUGGGGUAAUGGCCUACCAAGACUACGAUCUUUAGCUGGUUUUAGAGGAUGAUCAGCCACACUGGAACUGAGACACGGCCCAGACUCCUACGGGAGGCAGCAGUGGGGAAUCUUAGACAAUGGAGGAAAGUCUGAUCUAGCCAUGCCGCGUGUGUGAUGAAGGCCUUAGGGUCGUAAAAUUCUUUCAGAUGAGAUGAUAAUGACGGUAUCUGCUAAAGAAACCCCGGCUAACUCCGUGCCAGCAGCCGCGGUAAUACGAAUGGAGCUAGCGUUGUUCGGAAUCACUGGGCGUAAAGCGCACGUAGGCGGACUAUAAAGUUAGAGGUGAAAUCCCGAAGCUCAACUCCGGAACUGCCUUUGAUACUGCUAGAUCUUGAGUUCGAGAGAGGUGAGUGGAAUUCCUAGUGUAGAGGUGAAAUUCGUAGAUAUUACGGAGGAACACCAGUGGCGAAGGCG
This 608-nucleotide ribosomal RNA is filed under the name uncultured bacterium. Its description in RNAcentral is "bacterial SSU rRNA". It matches the Rfam family "Bacterial small subunit ribosomal RNA", at positions 76 to 723 of the family's 1533-position model. The record is from RNAcentral.